UUGCUUUACAGUAUGUGGGCUGUUGGACCAUGGAGUUUUCCUACUCCGAUUUUGGUGAGCUUAGAUUUCCUCUAGACUUUGCUUUAACGCGUUUGGUAGCAAUGAUGACUUAUCUUUUUUCCCCAGCAGAUCGACAGUGUUGACCUUUUCUUAAUGCAAAAAAUAAGCCAAAUGAUCUGAGCAACCAUAUACUUGUGCCAAAAUCUGGCGUUCAUUUUAAGGAAUGUCACUGAUGUUUACUACUAUCCCCACAGAUCACACUGGAGCCAAAUGGAUAACCUUAAAUUCAUCAGACUUUGUUUCAUAGGUCUUUAACACUCUAAAGCAGGCAGAAUUCUGUAAUUCAAGAGGACCAGGACCAAAACGAGUGACCCUUGAUGAAUGGCCACAUGUGACGGAGUAUGCGCGAUCCAUGCUCCUGAAGGCCCUUCGGUGCCAAACCCACUUGGAGCUGUGAAUGACACCAUGGGUUUUCUCAAAGCAGUCUAGCGUUUACCAGCCAUGGGGAGGAAACGCCUUUGAGUUUUGAAGUUGCUUUAUUUUGACCUGCUAGUGUUCCAAGGUGCUAUUUUUAUGAAAAGGCAUUCAAGUACGUUCCAUUUAUAACUUCUCAAAGCGGUCACUAAUUGCUUGUAACUUAUUUGUUCUAUGCAAGUGUAAAUUGUCUUGCAACUAGUUACCUCUUUUACGUUUUCAAUAAAACUUUAUGAAAACUUG
Carassius carassius (crucian carp) is the source of this 717-nucleotide long non-coding RNA. RefSeq lists it as uncharacterized. The record is from RefSeq and is a predicted model, not a curated record. Lineage: Eukaryota; Metazoa; Chordata; Actinopteri; Cypriniformes; Cyprinidae. The transcript has 3 exons.